Molecule: ribosomal RNA, 427 nt
Filed under: uncultured bacterium
Lineage: Bacteria
Description: partial 16S ribosomal RNA
Rfam family: Bacterial small subunit ribosomal RNA
Source: RNAcentral
UGGGGAAUAUUGCACAAUGGGCGCAAGCCUGAUGCAGCCAUGCCGCGUGUAUGAAGAAGGCCUUCGGGUUGUAAAGUACUUUCAGCGAGGAGGAAGGCGUUGUGGUUAAUAACCGCAGCGAUUGACGUUACUCGCAGAAGAAGCACCGGCUAACUCCGUGCCAGCAGCCGCGGUAAUACGGAGGGUGCAAGCGUUAAUCGGAAUUACUGGGCGUAAAGCGCACGCAGGCGGUCUGUCAAGUCGGAUGUGAAAUCCCCGGGCUCAACCUGGGAACUGCAUCCGAAACUGGCAGGCUAGAGUCUUGUAGAGGGGGGUAGAAUUCCAGGUGUAGCGGUGAAAUGCGUAGAGAUCUGGAGGAAUACCGGUGGCGAAGGCGGCCCCCUGGACAAAGACUGACGCUCAGGUGCGGAAGCGUGGGGAGCAAACA